Molecule: long non-coding RNA, 111 nt
Organism: Mustela erminea (ermine)
Lineage: Eukaryota; Metazoa; Chordata; Mammalia; Carnivora; Mustelidae
Exons: 3
Source: RefSeq, a predicted model, not a curated record
CUCUCACUUUUUGCAGAUGAUAUGAUACUUUAUGUGAAAAACCCUAAAGACUCCACCUCAACACUGCUAGAACUCAUAAUAGGAAUUCAGUACAAUCAAUGCUCAGAAGUC